GCAAGUCGAGGGGUAACAUAGAGUGCUUGCACUCUGAUGACGACCGGCGCACGGGUGCGUAACGCGUAUAGAAUCUACCCUUUACUGGGGAAUAGCCCAGAGAAAUUUGGAUUAAGACCCCAUAGUAUACUCUUAUGGCAUCAUAUAAGUAUUAAAGGUUACGGUAAAGGAUGACUAUGCGUCCCAUUAGCUAGAUGGUAAGGUAACGGCUUACCAUGGCAACGAUGGGUAGGGGCCCUGAGAGGGGGAUC
Molecule: ribosomal RNA, 251 nt
Filed under: uncultured bacterium
Lineage: Bacteria
Description: partial 16S ribosomal RNA
Rfam family: Bacterial small subunit ribosomal RNA
Source: RNAcentral